GACGAACGCUGGCGGCGUGCCUAAUACAUGCAAGUAGAACGCACAGUUUAUACCGUAGCUUGCUACACCAUAGACUGUGAGUUGCGAACGGGUGAGUAACGCGUAGGUAACCUGCCUGGUAGCGGGGGAUAACUAUUGGAAACGAUAGCUAAUACCGCAUAAUAUUAAUUAUUGCAUGAUAAUUAAUUGAAAGGUGCAAUUGCACCACUACCAGAUGGCCCUGCGUUGUAUUAGCUAGUAGGUGAGGUAACGGCGCACCUAGGCGACGAUACAUAGCCGGCCUGAGAGGGUGAUCGGCCACGCUGGGACGGGGACACGGCCCAGACUCCUGCGGGAGGCAGCAGUAGGGAAUCUUCGGCAAUGGACGAAAGGCUGACCGAGCAACGCCGCGGGAGGGAAGAAGGUUUUCGGAUCGUAAAGCUCGGUUGUAAGAGAAGAACGGGUGUGAGAGUGGAAAGUGCACACUGUGACGGUAUCUGACCAGAAAGGGACGGCUAACUACGUG
Molecule: ribosomal RNA, 505 nt
Filed under: uncultured bacterium
Lineage: Bacteria
Description: partial 16S ribosomal RNA
Rfam family: Bacterial small subunit ribosomal RNA
Source: RNAcentral